AUUGAACGCUGGCGGCAUGCCUUACACAUGCAAGUCGAACGGCAGCACGGGUGCUUGCACCUGGUGGCGAGUGGCGAACGGGUGAGUAAUACAUCGGAACAUGUCCUGUAGUGGGGGAUAGCCCGGCGAAAGCCGGAUUAAUACCGCAUACGAUCUACGGCUGAAAGCGGGGGACCUUCGGGCCUCGCGCUAUAGGGUUGGCCGAUGGCUGAUUAGCUAGUUGGUGGGGUAAGGCCUACCAAGGCGACGAUCAGUAGCUGGUCUGAGAGGACGACCAGCCACACUGGGACUGAGACACGGCCCAGACUCCUACGGGAGGCAGCAGUGGGGAAUUUUGGACAAUGGGCGAAAGCCUGAUCCAGCAAUGCCGCGUGUGUGAAGAAGGCCUUCGGGUUGUAAAGCACUUUUGUCCGGAAAGAAAUCCUUGGCCCUAAUACGGUCGGGGGAUGACGGUACCGGAAGAAUAAGCACCGGCUAACUACGUG
This 485-nucleotide ribosomal RNA is filed under the name uncultured bacterium. Its description in RNAcentral is "partial 16S ribosomal RNA". It matches the Rfam family "Bacterial small subunit ribosomal RNA", at positions 30 to 507 of the family's 1533-position model. The record is from RNAcentral.